ACCUCACUCAGGAUGAUGCCCUCCAG
This 26-nucleotide non-coding RNA is filed under the name Mus musculus (house mouse). Lineage: Eukaryota; Metazoa; Chordata; Mammalia; Rodentia; Muridae. The record is from RNAcentral.